This 463-nucleotide ribosomal RNA is filed under the name Neisseria sp. KH1472. RNAcentral's name for it is "bacterial SSU rRNA". It matches the Rfam family "Bacterial small subunit ribosomal RNA", at positions 21 to 473 of the family's 1533-position model. The record is from RNAcentral. RNAcentral also lists the same sequence under 1 other name. Lineage: Bacteria; Pseudomonadati; Pseudomonadota; Betaproteobacteria; Neisseriales; Neisseriaceae.
GGCUCAGAUUGAACGCUGGCGGCAUGCUUUACACAUGCAAGUCGAACGGCAGCACGAAAGAGCUUGCUCUUUUGGUGGCGAGUGGCGAACGGGUGAGUAAUACAUUGGAACGUACCGAGUAAUGGGGGAUAACUGUCCGAAAGGAUGGCUAAUACCGCAUACGCUCUGAGGAGGAAAGCGGGGGACCUUCGGGCCUCGCGUUAUUCGAGCGGCCAAUGUCUGAUUAGCUAGUUGGUGGGGUAAAGGCCUACCAAGGCGACGAUCAGUAGUGGGUCUGAGAGGAUGAUCCGCCACACUGGGACUGAGACACGGCCCAGACUCCUACGGGAGGCAGCAGUGGGGAAUUUUGGACAAUGGGCGAAAGCCUGAUCCAGCCAUGCCGCGUGUCUGAAGAAGGCCUUCGGGUUGUAAAGGACUUUUGUCAGGGAAGAAAGGGUUUGGGUUAAUACCCUGAGCUUAUGAC